Molecule: small nuclear RNA, 164 nt
Organism: Phycodurus eques (leafy seadragon)
Lineage: Eukaryota; Metazoa; Chordata; Actinopteri; Syngnathiformes; Syngnathidae
Product: U1 spliceosomal RNA
Exons: 1
Source: RefSeq, a predicted model, not a curated record
AUACUUACCUGGCAGGGGAGACACCAUGAUCAAGAAGGUGGUUCACCCUGGGUGAGGCUCACGCAUUACAUUCCGAUUGUGCUGACCUUUGCGGUUUCCCCAAAUGUGGGAAUCUCGGCUGCACAAUUUCUGGUAGCGGGGCCCUGCGUUUGUGCUCUCCACUG